This 885-nucleotide ribosomal RNA is filed under the name Candidatus Nanohalobiales archaeon. RNAcentral's name for it is "bacterial SSU rRNA". It matches the Rfam family "Archaeal small subunit ribosomal RNA", at positions 1 to 879 of the family's 1478-position model. RNAcentral also lists the same sequence under 1 other name. The record is from RNAcentral. Lineage: Archaea; Nanobdellati; Candidatus Nanohalarchaeota; Candidatus Nanohalobia; Candidatus Nanohalobiales.
UUCCGGUUGAUCCUGCCAGAGGCUACCGCUAUCGGAGUCCGAUUUAGCCAUGCUAGUCCAUCGGGGUCUUUGACCCCGAGGCAGAUAGCUGAGUAACACGUGGCUAACCUGCCCUGUGGACGGGAAUAACCUCGCUAACGUGAGGCUAAUGCCCGAUAGCAGAUGAUUGCUGGAAAGCGUCGUCUGUGAAAUGUUCCGACGCCACAGGAUGGAGCCGCGGCUGAUUAGGUCGUUGGUGAGGUAACGGCUCACCAAGCCAGUAAUCAGUAGCAGCCGUGAGAGCGGGAGCUGCCAGUCGGCUUCUGAGACAAGAAGCCGGGCCCUACGGGGCGCAGCAGGCACGAAACCUUCACAAUGCACGCGAGUGCGAUGGGGGGACUCCGAGUGCAAUCUUCCCACAAGGAAGGUUGCUUUUCUGCACUGUAAGGAGGUGCCGGAACAAGGGGUGGGCAACACUGCUGCCAGCCGCCGCGGUAAUAGCAGGACCCCAAGUGGUAGUCGUUGUUAUUGGGCUUAAAGUGUUCGUAGCCUGCCGUGUAAGUCCGCUGUGAAAUCCACGCGCUCAACGUGUGGGCGUGCAGCGGAUACUGCAUGGCUAGGGACCGGACGGCGUCGAGGCUAUUCCUUGGGUAGAAGUGAAAUCCUAAAAUCCAAGGAGGAGCACCUGUGGCGAAAGCGCUCGGCGAGUACGGAUCCGACGGUGAGGAACGAAAGCCAGGGGAGCAAAGCGGAUUAGAUACCCGCGUAGUCCUGGCCGUUAACAAUGACCGUUUGAUGUCGGCUAACCUCCGAGGUUAGCCGGUGCCGAAGUGAAAACGUUAAACGGACCGCCUGGGAAGUACGGGCCGCAAGGCUGAAACUUAAAAGAAAUUGGCGGGGGAGCAC